This 210-nucleotide long non-coding RNA is filed under the name Lathyrus oleraceus (garden pea). RNAcentral describes it as "Pisum sativum (pea) long non-coding RNA (PSAT_LNC001941)". Lineage: Eukaryota; Viridiplantae; Streptophyta; Magnoliopsida; Fabales; Fabaceae. The record is from RNAcentral.
AAGAAGUUCCACUGGGGAUCAAACACUCUGAAUCCGUUAGCUGGGGACAACAGUAUUUCAUUGAGGAAAUGAAUCAACACUAAUGUCUAGGGAUACCGGAAGAGUUAAUUGCUUGAGGAACCUCUGAUGCUUCACACUUAAGGACUUGCUAUUUAAUUGGAAUGCGACUGAUAUUCCUUUUACUUGCUUUGGAAAAGUUCUUGCUCUUAU